Molecule: ribosomal RNA, 673 nt
Filed under: uncultured bacterium
Lineage: Bacteria
Description: bacterial SSU rRNA
Rfam family: Bacterial small subunit ribosomal RNA
Source: RNAcentral
UGGCGGCGUGCUUAAUACAUGCAAGUCGAACGGUUCUCGCAAGAGGAUAGUGGCGAACGGGUGAGUAACGCGUUAGUGACCUGCCCCGAAGAGAGGGAUACCAGAUCGAAAGGUCUGCUAAUACCGCAUGAGUUUCCGGUCGUUAGAGAGCCGGAAAGAAAGCCGAAAGGCGCUUCGGGAGGGGCUUGCGUCCCAUCAGCUAGUUGGUGAGGUAACGGCCCACCAAGGCGAUGACGGGUAGGGGACCUGAGAGGGUGACCCCCCACAAUGGAACUGAAACACGGUCCAUACACCUACGGGUGGCAGCAGUAGGGAAUAUUGGUUAAUGGGCGAAAGCCUGACCCAGCAACGCCGCGUGAGUGAUGAAGGCCUUCGGGUUGUAAAACUCUUUUUACGGGGAUGAGGAAGGACAGUACUCGUAGAAUAAGUCUCGGCUAACUACGUGCCAGCAGCCGCGGUAACACGUAGGAGACGAGCGUUAUCCGGAUUUACUGGGUGUAAAGCGCGUGCAGGCGGUUCAGUAAGUUGGAUGUGAAAGCUCCUGGCUUAACUGGGAGAGGUUGUUCAAGACUGCUGGACUAGAGGAUGGCAGAGGGGAGUGGAAUUCCGAGUGUAGCGGUAAAAUGCAUAGAUAUUCGGAAGAACACCAGUGGCGAAGGCGGCUCUCUGGGCC